UACGUAGGUGGCAAGCGUUGUCCGGAUUUACUGGGCGUAAAGAGCGCGCAGGCGGUCGUGCAAGUCGCGUGUGAAAGCCCCCGGCUCAACUGGGGAGGGUCACGCGAUACUGCUCGACUCGAAGGCAGGAGAGGGAAGUGGAAUUCCCGGUGUAGUGGUGAAAUGCGUAGAUAUCGGGGGGAACACCAGUGGCGAAGGCGGCUCACUGGACCACAACUGACGCUGAUGCACGAAAGCUAGGGGAGCAAACAGG
This 253-nucleotide ribosomal RNA is filed under the name uncultured bacterium. Its description in RNAcentral is "partial 16S ribosomal RNA". It matches the Rfam family "Bacterial small subunit ribosomal RNA", at positions 524 to 776 of the family's 1533-position model. The record is from RNAcentral.